UCUGGAGCUUAUGUCUCCUCCGGAGUUACGGAAAAAGACCGAGAGGCGUCGUUAGCGAUGACGGCGGACUCCGACAGCGAUUGACUGACUAUCGGGUCAUCAGCUGAAGAAAACGACGAGAGAUUCAAAAAAACAGGAUGAACGCCAAGCUUCUUGUCUGCUGCAAUUAUAUAACGCAUUAUCCUUUGGCACGGACAAAGGUUGAAGUGCAGUCCCUUAGCUCAGUUGGUUAGAGCGCUACACUGAUAAUGUAGAGGUCGGCAGUUCAACUCUGCCAGGGACUACAGAAAACGAGAGUACAUUGACAUACUGGAAGAAAGGAAACGUCAGCCGCAAGACGCAAGUCUGAGGAAGACGUGACCGAGAAAAUAAACGAGUAAAUCAGAAACGAGCGAUCGGGCGACCUAAAGAGAAGGUAAGUUCGAACGACGAAGCGACGGACGGCGGAAUAGAAAUAUUCCGCAGGUCAAGCGACAGAACAAGGAAAGGAGAAAAGGGCACAUGAAGGAUGCCUAGGCUCUUGGAGACGACGAAGGACGUGACAAGCUGCGAAAAGCCGCGGAGAGGGGCAAAUACCCAUUGACCCGCGGAUGUC
RNAcentral lists this small RNA (595 nucleotides) under uncultured bacterium. RNAcentral's name for it is "bacterial LSU rRNA". The stretch from base 482 to 595 matches the Rfam family "Bacterial large subunit ribosomal RNA", at positions 1 to 114 of the family's 2925-position model. The record is from RNAcentral.